Gasterosteus aculeatus aculeatus (three-spined stickleback) is the source of this 331-nucleotide long non-coding RNA. The record is from Ensembl. Lineage: Eukaryota; Metazoa; Chordata; Actinopteri; Perciformes; Gasterosteidae.
AUUAUUUGUUAUUUAUCAUUUCAUAUAUUUCACAAGGUUAGAAGUUAGAGGACCAGAGCUGUGGAAACGUAUCUACAAUCCAUCUGUUAAUCUGCUGUCGCUGUAAUUCCUCUAAUCAAGAGGAGCGAUGGAUUUAAGGAGAGUAAAGAAAAAGGAGAAGAGAUGGAAGGAGGCAGAUGUGUGGAGGAGAGAAAGGGUGAGGCAGAUGUGUGGAGGAGAGAAAGGGUGAGGCAGAUGUAAAGGGGGAGUCAGAUGUGUGCAGGAGAGAAAGGGGGAGUCAGAUGUGUGCAGGAGGGAAAGGGGGAGUCAGAUGUGUGCAGGAGAGAAAGGG